RNAcentral lists this ribosomal RNA (267 nucleotides) under Clostridioides sp. ES-S-0077-01. Its description in RNAcentral is "partial 23S ribosomal RNA". It matches the Rfam family "Bacterial large subunit ribosomal RNA", at positions 303 to 572 of the family's 2925-position model. The record is from RNAcentral. Lineage: Bacteria; Bacillati; Bacillota; Clostridia; Peptostreptococcales; Peptostreptococcaceae.
GGACAUAUCAUAACGAAGAGGUAUCGUAAUUGAAGAGGUUUGGAAAGACCCACCACAGAAGGUAAUAGUCCUGUAUGUUAAACAAGAAGACUUCAGAUAUGAUCCAGAGUACCACGGGACACGUGAAACCCUGUGGGAAUCAGGAGGGACCACCCUCCAAGGCUAAAUACUACCUAGUGACCGAUAGCGUAUAGUACCGUGAGGGAAAGGUGAAAAGAACCCCGGGAGGGGAGUGAAAUAGAACCUGAAACCCUGCACUUACAAGCU